This is a long non-coding RNA of Oxyura jamaicensis (ruddy duck), 1203 nucleotides long. RefSeq lists it as uncharacterized. NCBI's taxonomy places the organism in Eukaryota, Metazoa, Chordata, Aves, Anseriformes, Anatidae. The record is from RefSeq and is a predicted model, not a curated record. The transcript has 5 exons.
GCACGAGAACAAACAAAAGCCUGGCAGCAAGGGGAGAUCAUAAUAUUUGCAAGCAAAAUAUCAUUCAGUCACGGAGUGACUGACAAAUCACAUGAUGGCAAGGUGAAGUCAGAUAUCAAAGAUACAAACUAAAUUACACUGAACGCAAGCCAGCCCUGUAAGCUGUUAAUCCAUCCUUUGUUAGCAACGCAGCAAAUACGUUAAUGGACCUAAACUGUCAUUUGCUUUCACAGCUUUAGCCUGUCAGGGCUCAUUUAAAGCUUCCAAACCACCUUCAGCAAUAGUCUUGGCCUUGCAUUUUCCACCAAGUCUAGCAGCCUGCACGGAACGGGUGAUUUAUUCUGAAAUACGCUGCUUUAUAUCCUGGUGAAGUAGAAUACGCCAGAAUCUAUCUAAACAGGUGAAGUCGGUGCAUGUAAGGAUACUGUUUGUCAUUAGUUUCAAAUAGGAAAGGCUGGGACGCAGGCAGGGCGCCAGCUCCUGGCUUUCAGCAAUGACUUUAAGGCAGCUGAAAUUUGCUAGCGACAUCCUGCCACGACAGCUCGAGGCUGGACGCUGGUUGCACAUGCACAUGUGUAGCUCUAGAGCUAGCAACAAGGAAUAACUUAGUGAGAUAGAAACCAGAAGUCAUCUUAGAUUCAGCUGGAUCCACAGCAGGCAGAAGCAGGACUUUUGCUCGAAAAGCAGCUUCCUGCCCAACCUUUUCAGUACCACAACGUACAUCUGUUUACCGGGCAGACAGGGACACGCUGGAGAGAGCACAGGGAAGGACAAUGAGAAUGGUUAAAGGACUGGAGUAACCAUCACACGAGGGGAGGCUGAGAGAGCAGAGGACAUUCAGCCUGAAGACCACGCUCAGAGAGGAAUCAUAUAGCUGUGUAUAAAUCCUUAACAGGAGGAAAAAGAGAGUCGCCCUUCUUACCAACAACCAGUGAAAGGACAAGGGGAACAAACUGAAACAAGAAACAGCUGAUCCUGUGCCAAGGCUAGGACAAAGCGGAGAGCUGCUCAAGCCUAUUCCAGUCCAGCUUUCCAACUCUGCCCAAAAACAUAAGUGAAAUUGCCCAGGACAAACUGCUAGCUCCUUCUGCAGUCAGAAAAGAAGGAGAGGCUCCUGUGGAGGAAGAGUCAAAGCUCUGUAAGGCCUUGCUCUGAACCAGACCCCUAAGAGGCCUCUCGCUCCCCGCUGGUAACAGAGGGAUC